RNAcentral lists this ribosomal RNA (633 nucleotides) under Nebria acuta quileute. Its description in RNAcentral is "partial large subunit ribosomal RNA". The stretch from base 389 to 548 matches the Rfam family "Bacterial large subunit ribosomal RNA", at positions 2473 to 2632 of the family's 2925-position model. The record is from RNAcentral. Lineage: Eukaryota; Metazoa; Arthropoda; Insecta; Coleoptera; Carabidae.
GUCCUUUAGAUAUUAAUUUAAGGUCUAACCUGCCCACUGAAAUGUUUUAAAUGGCCGCAGUAAUUUGACUGUGCAAAGGUAGCAUAAUCAUUAGUUUUUUAAUUAAAAGCUUGUAUGAAAGGUUGGACGAAGUAAAAUCUGUCUCUAAUUAAAUUAAUUUAGAAUUUAACUUUUAAGUUAAAAGGCUUAAAUUUAACUAAAAGACGAGAAGACCCUAUAGAUCUUUAUAUUUUUAUUAUUAAAUUUAAUUAAGAAUUUUUAAAAUUUUAUUAAUUUAAAUAUUUUAUUGGGGUAAUAUAAAGAUUUAAAUAAUUCUUUUUUUUUAUUAACAUUAAUUUAUGAUUUUUAUGAUCCAAUUAUAUUGAUUUUAAGAUUAAGUUACCUUAGGGAUAACAGCGUAAUUUUUUUAGAGAGUUCUUAUCGAUAAAAAAGUUUGCGACCUCGAUGUUGGAUUAAAGAUUAUUUUAGGUGCAGAAGUUUAAAAAUUUUGGUCUGUUCGACCAUUAAAUCUUUACAUGAUCUGAGUUCAGACCGGUGUAAGCCAGGUCGGUUUCUAUCUUUAGUAAAUUAAAAUAUUUCAGUACGAAAGGACCAAUUAUUUAAUAUAAAUAUUUAUAUUUUGAUUAUUAUUAA